GGAAGGUCAGCAAUAAUCAGGCAAAAUUAAUUCUUAACUCUUUCCCGCAUUCUCUUUCUCCCUCUGGGGAAAAAACAAAAAUUGCUCAUUGUUAAUACAUCCUUUUUGCCUCUAAGGGAAAUGGCAUUUGCACAGGAUACAUCUAUGCUUGAUUUAUUUUGAUAGAUUAUACUAAGAUUAAUGAUUUUUUAUGGUUUUGUUGCUGCAGAAAUAUUUCCUAUCUAGAAUGUUUCUGAUGUACUAAAGCCUUGAACAGUUGCUUUGUUUCCACUUAUUUGUGAAAGGGAAAGUACUUUCUUGCUUUCUAAUGCUAUUGUGAGGCAGGGCCUUUGAGACCAACUGGUUCAGAAAGUAUCUGAAACAAUGGAAGCAGAAGAGUUCAUCUAGAGAGCCCAUAGAGGCGAAGAGGAAGGGCAGAGGACACAUCUUGAAGGAUUCUAGGAGGUGGGAUAUGGCAGGAGGAGAGCAAGAUAAGUGGUGGAAAUUGUGAACUUGCUGACAAGUUUCAGACUGUUAUUCAUUCAGGAUUAUGAAUACCUCGUCUGAAAUUCCAAAGGUCCCAAUCCGGCAGAGUCAAUGGGGUUACAUUUGUGCUUCAGUCUGAGCACAUGCUGAAAUGCUUUGCUGGGUCCUGGUUUUACACUGAAAGUAUUUGCUCUUUGUGUAGCAGGUAACUGAAAAGAUCUCACAUGAGGUAAGAGCAGUAGAAUUGGGCCCAUGAUCACAUAUCCCCUUUUAUAGGAAUGUAAACGUUGCUUCAUUUUAAGGUAUAUUAUAUACUGUUA
This 785-nucleotide long non-coding RNA is filed under the name Crocodylus porosus (Australian saltwater crocodile). RNAcentral describes it as "lncRNA (ENSCPRG00005015143.1)". Lineage: Eukaryota; Metazoa; Chordata; Crocodylia; Crocodylidae. The record is from RNAcentral.